RNAcentral lists this ribosomal RNA (548 nucleotides) under uncultured bacterium. RNAcentral's name for it is "bacterial SSU rRNA". It matches the Rfam family "Bacterial small subunit ribosomal RNA", at positions 777 to 1339 of the family's 1533-position model. The record is from RNAcentral.
AAUAGAUACCCGGGUAGUCCACGCCGUAAACGAUGGAUACUAGCUGUUGGAGGUAUCGACCCCUUCAGUAGCGAAGCUAACGCGUUAAGUAUCCCGCCUGUGGAGUACGGUCGCAAGACUAAAACAUAAAGGAAUUGACGGGGACCCGCACAAGCGGUGGAUCGUGUUCUUUAAUUCGAUGAUAAACGAAGAACCUUACCAGGGCUUGACAUCCCAAGAAGGCUUCCGAAAGGAAACUGUGCCGUAAGGAACUUGGUGACAGAUGAUGCAUGGCCGUCGUCAGCUCGUGUCGUGAGAUGUUUGGUUAAGUCCAUUAACGAGCGCAACCCUUGUGAAUAGUUGUAUUUUUCUAUUCAGACUGCCCCGGUAACGGGGAGGAAGGAGGGGAUGAGGUCAGGUCUGUAUUUCUCUUACGUCCUGGGCUAGAAACACGAUACAAUGGCUAGUACAAUGCGCAGCGAAGCCGCGAGGUGGAGCAAAUCGCAUCAAAGCUAGUCCCAGUUCGGAUAAGAGGCUGAAACUCGCCUCUUGAAGUCGGAAUCGCUAGU